GGCUUGGUAGCUCAGUAGGAAGAGCGGGUGAGUGAAGUUCACCGCGUCGGGGGUUCGACUCCUCCCCAAGCCA
RNAcentral lists this transfer RNA (73 nucleotides) under Caudoviricetes sp. Its description in RNAcentral is "tRNA-Phe". It matches the Rfam family "tRNA". From Rfam's summary of the family: Transfer RNA (tRNA) molecules are approximately 80 nucleotides in length. Their secondary structure includes four short double-helical elements and three loops (D, anti-codon, and T loops). Further hydrogen bonds mediate the characteristic L-shaped molecular structure. tRNAs have two regions of fundamental functional importance: the anti-codon, which is responsible for specific mRNA codon recognition, and the 3' end, to which the tRNAs corresponding amino acid is attached (by aminoacyl-tRNA synthetases). tRNAs cope with the degeneracy of the genetic code in two manners: having more than one tRNA (with a specific anti-codon) for a particular amino acid; and 'wobble' base-pairing, i.e. permitting non-standard base-pairing at the 3rd anti-codon position. Lineage: Duplodnaviria; Heunggongvirae; Uroviricota; Caudoviricetes. The record is from RNAcentral.